GACAAGAGUGGCGGUGCCGGCGGCGACGUCCACGCUCGUCUGCCCGCUGGCCCAGUUGUAGUUACUCCAGCGGAACACACGUGGAGAAGCGUCCUCCUCCCCAGCUACAUCAUCGCGCAACUUUCAAGAAGAAGAGGCCGCAUGACACGCUUCUUGCUGCUGAUGCCUUGCAGGCGGGAGAGGACUUCCAUCUAGCUUUCGCCUGCCUGAAGGAAGAGGCGUGGCAGUGGCUGAAUAGAAGACCCACCUGCGGAUAGAACAUUGCGUUCAUCAUAGCUGACGAUAAUUCUGCUGUGCUGCUGCGUCUCCCGUUGCUGUGCGCUGUGGCGGCGGUGAAGCCCGGUCGCGGCCAGACUCCACUUACACUCGCCGCAGCAUCGUCACCAUCUCCAGCUCGGAACUUGCUGAGGUAGUAUCGGACACAAGCAUAUAGUGGUAAAUUAUCACUGUCGAAUAUCUUAUGCCGUACAAGUUUUUUUUUUUUUUCAAUUUAGCUGUGAAAAAUGUUUAGUUCAAAAUUUCACUCGGAAUGAAGCGGCGUUGACUCCGCAUGGCUUGCCAAGGUACUCCAGGACGGCCGCGUGUUUCCUAAGUAAAGUGAGUUGCAAAGUCGGGACGAUCGUAAGAACGCGACUGGCGGAGGUUUAGUGCCUGGUCAGUCGAUCACUCGAGCGGCGGCGUGGCGAGGCCCAGGGCGGAACGAGGGGAAGCUCGACCGUGGCGACGAGGUGUCCGUGUGUCCCAGAGGAGGGUGAGUGUCAAACUAGGGGAAGGCCACCCCGGGAACGCCAAAACUGCUUCUCUAAGUUUCCGGUUGUUGGGAGCCAUUUUGCCCUCGGGCGGUCCCCGUGCUCAUGUGCCGCGAGUGAGGCUCCGCCCACUCCUUCCCACUCGCCCCCAAUCCCCUCCAUCGGCGACGGGUGCCACCUACCUAUGUUUCCGCUUUCGUUGUAUCUCAUUCAAUUUUUACUGUAGGCACUUUCUCAUUUUUGCUCAUAAGCACAGGGCCAUAUAAACGCACCUUUCGAAAGGCGGGUCAGUCCGGCCAAGCGGAGUCCGGAUAUAGCAAGCUCAGCCCGGCCCUUCGCUCGUCAUCGUACCU
Penaeus chinensis is the source of this 1102-nucleotide long non-coding RNA. RefSeq lists it as uncharacterized. The record is from RefSeq and is a predicted model, not a curated record. The transcript is spliced from 3 exons. Lineage: Eukaryota; Metazoa; Arthropoda; Malacostraca; Decapoda; Penaeidae.